CAUGCAUCUUAGAAUUACCAUUUUUUACCUCUUUAACAAUGCAUAAACGUGAAAUCUGGAGUCAAGUAGAAUCCAUUGACUAUCGUGAUUGUGAAAAACUUUGAAAUCUGAGAUGUCUAAGCUUGUUGCAGCUAAUAUAUGAUUGACGUCAACCGUAGAGAAUCUAACUACAAGGUUAGAGUGUUGUCUUGAAGAACUCCUAGCAUCGUUGUUGGGAAAAGGGAUUUAAAGUUGGGGGCUGGCUGUGGAGGCAUCUGCUAUAUGGUUGUCGCUGGAUCUGCGGACCUAGUAGUUGCCACCAAUGGAGAUGCAAGUGCUCUUGACAUAUUGACCCAAAAUACCACUUCUGAUUUCAAAAGCCACCAUUCCUUUUUCAAGUUGAUCUCGAACAUAGUAUAGCAGGGGAAUAAGGACUUCGCAAAGAAGCCAUCAAGGAAACCCCAGCACAUGAGAAUGAAUAAAGAAGUUUGUUCCAUACUGAAACACGUGGAUCAGUUAUCAUCUUGUCAAUUGGUAGGAAGGUGGUGCUUGGUUUGGGUUGGUGUUUUGUAACUGUGAAAGAAGGCUUGUACUGCAGAACCUUCUGCAAUUCGAAAGUUUGGCUUGCAUGUGUUUUUCCCUAUGUAUUUACAAAUUAGUGAAAAUUUUGUCAGCUGCUGAUUGUACCCAUAAUUGUAAUUUUUUUGUGAAUUAGAAGAUUGCUUUAAGGAAAGAUGUUGGAUGAUUAAUGUUGUACUGGACAUAUAUACAGAAUAGUGUUAAUGAUAUUUUGUGUUAGAACUCCUCA
Long non-coding RNA from Carya illinoinensis, 787 nucleotides. RefSeq lists it as uncharacterized. Lineage: Eukaryota; Viridiplantae; Streptophyta; Magnoliopsida; Fagales; Juglandaceae. The record is from RefSeq and is a predicted model, not a curated record. The transcript is spliced from 2 exons.